RNAcentral lists this ribosomal RNA (497 nucleotides) under uncultured bacterium. Its description in RNAcentral is "partial 16S ribosomal RNA". It matches the Rfam family "Bacterial small subunit ribosomal RNA", at positions 28 to 507 of the family's 1533-position model. The record is from RNAcentral.
GAUGAACGCUGGCGGCGUGCCUAAUACAUGCCAGUCGAGCGAACAGAUGAGGAGCUUGCUCCUCUGACGUUAGCGGCGGACGGGUGAGUAACACGUGGAUAACCUACCUAUAAGACUGGGAUAACUUCGGGAAACCGGAGCUAAUACCGGAUAAUAUAUUGAACCGCAUGGUUCAAUAGUGAAAGACGGUUUUGCUGUCACUUAUAGAUGGAUCCGCGCCGCAUUAGCUAGUUGGUAAGGUAACGGCUUACCAAGGCAACGAUGCGUAGCCGACCUGAGAGGGUGAUCGGCCACACUGGAUCUGAGACACGGUCCAGACUCCUACGGGAGGCAGCAGUAGGGAAUCGUCCGCAAUGGGCGAAAGCCUGACGGAGCAACGCCGCGUGAGUGAUGAAGGUCUUCGGAUCGUAAAACUCUGUUAUUAGGGAAGAACAAAUGUGUAAGUAACUAUGCACGUCUUGACGGUACCUAAUCAGAAAGCCACGGCUAACUACGUG